GCUAAAUUUUAUGCAUCACUGAAUACCGUUUUGCUUGCGUCUCCAUAUUUCUGCAUUCGAAAAUCUGACUGAUAGCCAAUAAAUAGUCUAAUACUGCUGAUGCCAGUGCUUAUUAGUAAAAUAAAAUGACAUAAUGUUUUGUGUAAAAUAAAAGAUUGAUAUGCUGGCCAGAUUUAAUAAGAAUUAUAAACAUGUCACGGUUUGGUUAAAAAGGAGACACCAGCUUAACGUGACUGCAGCUGAAGAAGUUUUAAAAGGGGAACUUUAUUUUUUGUACAAUAUAUAAGAUUCAGUCUAAAGAAAGACAGGAUAUAAGUGGAGAUAGGAUAUAGUGUAAAAAAGCAUAAAAGCCGAUCCACGAUGCUGGGGGACAUACAGACCUAUACAGUGGACGCAGAAAAAGCGCGUGAGGCAGCAAGACGAGACGUCCUCCCGAUUUUCACAGUGACACUUACGCAGCUCUAGAUGUGAAGAAUCAGUCACCUGACUAUGAUACUCUGAUGAUGCUGAAGCCUGCAGCCAGUGACAGACACCCUGCAGUUUAGGAGUCAGCAGUUUAUGGAAAUAUGAUGUAUAGUGAAAAAGGACAAUAUCAGGGAUCAAACCAUGUGGCCUAAAAUCACCAACCAGGCAUUUAUGUAGAGUUAUAUGUAUAUGUGCACAUUUUGCAGAUAUUUAAAGGUUUCAGUUUGCUUAGAACUUCCCAGGAUUCCAGUUUUUGAUUGGUUUUGUUGCAGAUCAGCAAAUCUGCAGGAGUGCAUUGUGUACAAGGCACUCUCUCAGCUGUCCCUGUUCACUGUGGUAGUGCGUACGUCUCUCCUCCACGGUGUUUGUGCCGGAGAUGAUCCCAAGUUCAGAUUCUCCAUCCUCCCCAUGCAGCUGGGUAGUGUGUCACCCCUCUGUUAUCCUUCAGCAGAAGCAGGACAGAAAUCCUACAGCACGGUGUUGGCUCCGACGCACUGGUCUGGCUCUGACACACUGGUCUGACGCACUUCCUGGACUCGUGGCGCUGACCAAAGUCUCUCUUCCACUCCUCACUCUACUAUUUGCCACUCGCUUCAUUAACUGCUCAUUUCUCUAAUGUCUUGAAUGAUGAACAUGUUUAGGUUUGAUUUUCACUCUGCUGCACUGUAACCCAAAUAAAGCAUCGCUCUGUAACUGGCGCAGGGGCCUUCAGGAAACUUCCACUGGGCAUUAAAAACAAACUCCGUGUCAGCAGCUAAUGGGCGACUUUGUGGCUGAGCAGGAUAGACCUGGAUGCCUGAGGUCAGUGUUGGGCCCUUGGUCUGACCCGGCUUCCUCUAAGAUGUAUGUUGCUUUGGAUGAAAUCAUCUGAUAAAUAAAUGAUCUGAUAAAU
Long non-coding RNA from Brienomyrus brachyistius, 1357 nucleotides. RefSeq lists it as uncharacterized. The record is from RefSeq and is a predicted model, not a curated record. The transcript has 3 exons. NCBI's taxonomy places the organism in Eukaryota, Metazoa, Chordata, Actinopteri, Osteoglossiformes, Mormyridae.